Molecule: ribosomal RNA, 468 nt
Filed under: uncultured bacterium
Lineage: Bacteria
Description: partial 16S ribosomal RNA
Rfam family: Bacterial small subunit ribosomal RNA
Source: RNAcentral
GACGAACGCUGGCGGCGUGCUUAACACAUGCAAGUCGAACGGAAAGGCCCUGCUUUUGUGGGGUGCUCGAGUGGCGAACGGGUGAGUAACACGUGAGUAACCUGCCCUUGACUUUGGGAUAACUUCAGGAAACUGGGGCUAAUACCGGAUCGGAGCUCCUGCUGCAUGGUGGGGGUUGGAAAGUUUCGGCGGUUGGGGAUGGACUCGCGGCUUAUCAGCUUGUUGGUGGGGUAGUGGCUUACCAAGGCUUUGACGGGUAGCCGGCCUGAGAGGGUGACCGGCCACAUGGGGACUGAGAUACGGCCCAGACUCCUACGGGAGGCAGCAGUGGGGAAUAUUGCACAAUGGGCGGAAGCCUGAUGCAGCAACGCCGCGUGCGGGAUGACGGCCUGCGGGGUGUAAACCGCUUUCGCCUGUGACGAAGCGUGAGUGACGGUAAUGGGUAAAGAAGCACCGGCUAACUACGUG